Molecule: ribosomal RNA, 1301 nt
Filed under: human gut metagenome
Description: SSU rRNA
Rfam family: Eukaryotic small subunit ribosomal RNA
Source: RNAcentral
CCGUCGUACUGCCGGAGAAGGCGCCUGAGAGAUAGCGACUAUAUCCACGGGUAGCAGCAGGCGCGAAACUUACCCACUCGAGACUAUCGGAGGUGGUAAUGACCAGUUAUAAUUAAGGAAUUUUCCUUAUUAUAUAGGAAUAUACUUUUCCAGUAUAUUGUAACCUAGCAGAGGGCCAGUCUGGUGCCAGCAGCUGCGGUAAUUCCAGCUCUGCAAGUUUGCUCCCAUAUUGUUGUAGUUAAAACGCUCGUAGUCUGAAUUAUUUUAAUUUAAAUUUUUUAAAUUAAAAUUUAGUUUUUAUUUUAUAAAAACGUUCACUGUGAACAAAUCAGAACGCUUAAAGUAAUUUUCUUUAUUGAAUGAUUUAGCGCAGUAUGAAAUUUUUACUUUUUAAAUUUUAAUUAAUUUAACAAGUAAUAUCAAAGAGAAUAAUCGGGGAUAGAUCUAUUUCAUGGCGAACAGCGAAAUGUUUUGACCCAUGAGAGAGAAACGAAGGCGAAAGCAUCUAUCAAGUGUAUUUCUAUCGAUCAAGGGCGAGAGUAGGAGUAUCCAACCGGAUCAGAGACCCGGGUAGUUCCUACCUUAAACUAUGCCGACAAGGUUUUGUUUUUUUUAAUAAAAGCAGUACCAUAGGAGAAAUCAUAGUUCAUGGGCUCUGGGGGAACUACGACCGCAAGGCUGAAACUUGAAGGAAUUGACGGAAGGGCACACCAGGGGUGGAGCUUGUGGCUUAAUUUGAAUCAACACGGGAAAACUUACCAGGACCAGAUAUUUUUAAUGACUGAUCAGGCUAUAGGUCUUUCAGGAUAUGAUUUUUGGUGGUGCAUGGCCGUUGGUGGUGCGUGGGUUGACCUGUCUAGCGUUGAUUCAGAUAACGAGCGAGAUUAUCACCAAUUAAAUAUAUAAAUAUUUUUAUUAAAAUAAUUUAUUUUCUAAUUGGGACUCCCUGCGUCUAAGCAGGAGGAAGAUGGUAGCAAUAACAGGUCCGUGAUGUCCUUUAGAUGCUCUGGGCUGCACGCGCGCUACAAUGUUAUAAUCAAAGAGGUUUGCUAAAUCGAUAGAUUAUCUUUUUUUUUAAAGAUUUCAUAGCUACUCUGUUAAUAUAUAACGUAGUUGGGAUUGAUAAUUGUAAUCAUUAUCAUGAACCAGGAAUCCCUUGUAAAUGCGUGUCAACAACGCGCGUUGAAUACGUCCCUGCCCUUUGUACACACCGCCCGUCGCUCCUACCGAUUGAAUGACUCGGUGAAAUCAUUAGAUCAUUUUUUAAAUGAAAAGGUGAUUAAAUCACGUUAUUUAGAGGA